ACAAAGCACUAGACUCCUACAAGCUGCUGGAAUCUGGUUGGGUGCAGACAGUGAGGCAUAUCAUUCCUAAUGACACAACCCUCACGGUCCUGAGAGCUGACGUGACACCGUCAUUCCGGGUGAAUGAACCGCCGCAUCAUCCAUGGGCAGCCGUUACCCAGCGUGGCGAUGUGGUUGCUGCUCACUGUGACUGCAAAGCUGGCAGUGAUGGGACCCACCUGUGGCGCUAAUUCCAGGAUAUAAGAAGGCUGCAGAACAGGCUCUCGCUCUCUCUCAGCUGCCCUGCUCGGUGCAGCAGGACACCGCUCCUCUGUUCUGUUUUAUUGUUGUUGGAACCACUGUGUUGGAUAAAUAAAUGAUUGUUUUGGGCAA
Gymnodraco acuticeps is the source of this 372-nucleotide long non-coding RNA. RefSeq lists it as uncharacterized. NCBI's taxonomy places the organism in Eukaryota, Metazoa, Chordata, Actinopteri, Perciformes, Bathydraconidae. The transcript is spliced from 2 exons. The record is from RefSeq and is a predicted model, not a curated record.